UACGUAGGGGGCAAGCGUUGUCCGGAAUCAUUGGGCGUAAAGCGCGUGUAGGCGGCUUGGUAAGUCCGUUCUGAAAGCCCGGGGCUCAACCCCGGGAGGCGGAUGGAUACUGUCAAGCUUGAGUCCGGAAGAGGCGAGUGGAAUUCCCGGUGUAGCGGUGAAAUGCGCAGAUAUCGGGAGGAACACCAGCGGCGAAGGCGGCUUUCUGGUCCGAUUCUGACGCUGAGGCGCGAAAGCGUGGGGAGCGAUCCGG
RNAcentral lists this ribosomal RNA (253 nucleotides) under uncultured bacterium. RNAcentral describes it as "partial 16S ribosomal RNA". It matches the Rfam family "Bacterial small subunit ribosomal RNA", at positions 524 to 776 of the family's 1533-position model. The record is from RNAcentral.